GACGAACGCUGGCGGCGUGCUUAACACAUGCAAGUCGAACGCUGAAGCUCAGCUUUUGUUGGGUGGAUGAGUGGCGAACGGGUGAGUAACACGUGAGUAACCUGCCCCCUUCUUUGGGAUAACGCCCGGAAACGGGUGCUAAUACUGGAUAUUCACUGGUCUUCGCAUGGGGGUUGGUGGAAAGGGUUUUUCUGGUGGGGGAUGGGCUCGCGGCCUAUCAGCUUGUUGGUGGGGUGAUGGCCUACCAAGGCUUUGACGGGUAGCCGGCCUGAGAGGGUGACCGGUCACAUUGGGACUGAGAUACGGCCCAGGGUCCUACGGGAGGCAGCAGUGGGGAAUAUUGCACAAUGGGCGCAAGCCUGAUGCAGCGACGCCGCGUGAGGGAUGGAGGCCUUCGGGUUGUGAACCUCUUUCGCUCAAGGUCAAGCCGCAACAAUGGUUGUGGUGAGGGUAGUGGGUAAAGAAGCGCCGGCUAACUACGUG
This 483-nucleotide ribosomal RNA is filed under the name uncultured bacterium. RNAcentral describes it as "partial 16S ribosomal RNA". It matches the Rfam family "Bacterial small subunit ribosomal RNA", at positions 28 to 507 of the family's 1533-position model. The record is from RNAcentral.